GUGGGGAAUAUUGGACAAUGGGGGGAACCCUGAUCCAGCCAUGCCGCGUGUGUGAAGAAGGCCUUUUGGUUGUAAAGCACUUUAAGCGAGGAGGAGGCUACCGAGAUUAAUACUCUUGGAUAGUGGACGUUACUCGCAGAAUAAGCACCGGCUAACUCUGUGCCAGCAGCCGCGGUAAUACAGAGGGUGCAAGCGUUAAUCGGAUUUACUGGGCGUAAAGCGCGCGUAGGUGGCCAAUUAAGUCAAAUGUGAAAUCCCCGAGCUUAACUUGGGAAUUGUAUUCGAUACUGGUUGGCUAGAGUAUGGGAGAGGAUGGUAGAAUUCCAGGUGUAGCGGUGAAAUGCGUAGAGAUCUGGAGGAAUACCGAUGGCGAAGGCAGCCAUCUGGCCUAAUACUGACACUGAGGUGCGAAAGCAUGGGGAGCAAACAGGAUUAGAUACCCUUGUAGUCC
RNAcentral lists this ribosomal RNA (451 nucleotides) under uncultured bacterium. Its description in RNAcentral is "partial 16S ribosomal RNA". It matches the Rfam family "Bacterial small subunit ribosomal RNA", at positions 354 to 796 of the family's 1533-position model. The record is from RNAcentral.